This is an RNA transcript of Tyto alba (common barn owl), 6643 nucleotides long. It is a transcript of the gene named esterase D, with no coding region annotated. The transcript is spliced from 10 exons. NCBI's taxonomy places the organism in Eukaryota, Metazoa, Chordata, Aves, Strigiformes, Tytonidae. The record is from RefSeq and is a predicted model, not a curated record.
GGCGGCCUCCGGCAGCAGCGGGGCGGGAAGGCGCCAAGGCCGCAGGCACGCUGCCGCUCCCCUCCGGCCCUGGGCGGAAGAGCUGGAGAAGCGGAGGAGGAAGGGAGGAAGGCAGCACCCGCGGCUCCCACAGUCCCGGCACACCCGCACCCCCAGCUCCCCGCGGGGGCCGGGCCGUUGAGCUGGGCCGGGGCGGUUAAAACCAUGGCGCUGAAGCAGGUUUCAAGCAACAGAUGCUUUGAGGGUUUCCAGAAGGUAUUUGAACAUGACAGUGCAGAGCUAAAAUGCAAAAUGAAAUUUGGAAUCUACUUGCCUCCAAAAGCAGAAACUGGAAAGUGUCCUGUGCUGUAUUGGCUCUCAGGGUUAACUUGCACAGAACAGAAUUUUAUAACGAAAGCUGGUUUUCACCAAGCUGCAGCUGAACAUGGCCUUAUUGUAGUUGCGCCAGACACAAGCCCACGUGGCUGCAAUAUCGAAGGGGAAGAUGAAAGCUGGGAUUUUGGCACCGGUGCUGGUUUUUAUGUGGAUGCCACUGAAGAUCCUUGGAAAACAAACUAUAGGAUGUAUUCCUACAUAAAGGAUGAGCUGCCUAAACUAAUAAAUGCCAAUUUUCCAACUGACCCUGAACGGAUGUCUAUUUUUGGGCAUUCCAUGGGAGGACAUGGAGCUCUUAUUCUUGCUCUAAAGAAUCCUGGAAAAUACAAAUCUGUAUCAGCAUUUGCUCCUAUCUGCAACCCUAUGCAGUGUCAGUGGGGGAAGAAAGCCCUCGGUGGAUAUCUGGGAUCAGAUGUGAGCAAAUGGGAGGCAUACGAUGCUACACAGCUUGUGAAGUCCUAUCCAGACUCUCGCCUGGAUAUCUUGAUUGAUCAAGGCAAAGAUGACCAGUUCCUCUCAGCGGGCCAGUUACUGCCUGAUAACUUCAUCGCUGCCUGCACAGAGCAGAAAAUCCCAGUCGUCUUUCGACUGCAGCAGGGUUAUGAUCACAGCUAUUUUUUCAUUGCUACGUUUAUUAAUGACCACAUCAAACACCAUGCAAAAUACCUCAACGCUUGACCCAUUUGGAGGUGACAGUCGUCUGUCCAAUAUGAAUCAAGGGAUAGAGGUGAACUGAAAAAUCAUUCGCUGAGGUAGCAUCUGUAAAAUGGAGCUCUUCUGGUUGUACCGCUAAGAAAAAUAAAGGUCCCACUUAAUUUGAUGUGCGUGCUUUAGAGUAAGUAUUUUGAACAUCCCUGCGUGCUUCAGAAACACUCCCAACACCGUGAGGGUGCAUGCAGCAUUCUAGGUCAAAGUGAAAAUUAGCAGAUGAGUUUGUUUCAGACGGUGAAGGUCGGUAUGUCCUUGGGACCUCAGGAUGGUUCUUAGUGCAGACUGUGAAUAGCAACAGCGUGCCUCUUCAGCUAAUUAAAUACCGGGGUUCGUUUCGUCACCGGAUGCUGAAGGAAGUGGUUGGUGGCACAACCAAUCAAGCUACUUAAUUAAUCUGAGGUGGUUGUGGUGUUUUUCCUUGGCCUGCCAGAAUACAUUCCAAGGACAAAGCGUGGUGGAGAACACAGACGUGCGGAGCGGUUUGCUGUCCUGUGCGCUAUUAACAUCAAACGAAUAAUCUGGAGUAAACCACGUGAAGGAAGCAGGCGCUAGUAAAGGAGGUGGGUUUUUUCUCUCCACUUGCCUUUGAUCGUUGCUGAGUGUGAAAGGUUUAUGCUGUGUUUCUGGGUUUCUCGGACUUAACAGGACUGAGGGGGAACUGAUAAAUAGAUCGGGAAAAAAAGCAAUCCCUGUCGAUCGGUGAUCUGACGUCGCGUUGUUGAAAACUCGCGCGCCAGUUCUACAGAAGCUGGCAGAAUUUAGGCCUGUCAGUUGUAGAUCUCCAAGUUCCCAUUGGUGUAAUUCUGCCAGCUACCUUGUGUGGGGCAAAACCACAGGUUGUCCCAGGGAGCUGCUUAUCUUCUGUUCAAGCCAUCGCUUGUAAAAUCUGCUUUCCCUUGGGUCAGCUGAACCUGCAUCGUUGCUCAGACCUUGACUCGCUCUUGCCAGAGGAAAUAGGAGGGUAGCUGUAGGAUUGUUUGCUUUCCUAAGCAAUGCUGAACACUCUCCUGUUUCUCCGGCCCCUCCGAAAUUCCUGGCUGCAGGGAGAUCGAUGCUGGGAACUUAGGUCUCUGUUGCUGGUGACAGGCUUAAAUUCUGUACUGACUGUUACCAAUCUUGCACCUACCGAUUUCUGAAGCAAGCUUAGGAGGCUGGGAAGAUACGACUUGCAAGAGUUCUCUGAAAUGCUGACAGCACUUUUUCCACACUGGAUUUCCAACAGACCCCAACUCUUCCUUUCUUAUAAAGCGGGGCACUGACAUAAAAAUUUUAAGCCACAAUUGUUAAACAUUUUGAUUUUCCCGCUCCCACAACAGUAAAAUCGGCUCAAAAGCUUGUUUUAAUGUGUGGCAGCUUCUAACUGUUCCUCUCCUACUUCCUCAGCAGCCGGGGGAAAAUUAAUUAGUGGGCUGUAGGCAGCACUGGGCUGGAGCAGAAGCGUGCUGUGCUGGUACUGCAGCCUUGUGCCCAGUACUACAAACAGCGUAGCAGUGGAGUCGGGGUGUUCCGCUUGCCGCAGGUACUUCUAAUGCUAAACAUUUCCAUUUGUUAUCUUGUCAAAGCUAGGAAUGGUUUUUUUUUUUUUUGCCCAGUGCAUUCUGAAAAUUGUAGGUAAGGGCAAGGGGGGCAUGCUGUUUUUUUUCAUUCCCUGACGGGAUUCUAUGCACCUACGUGUUAUAUUAGAGGAGAGGAGAAAGCAGGUUUAACCCUGUAAUUUGCCAUUUUAAAGCUGCUGGGUUAAUGGUAGAAAGUGGGGGGGAAACACCCUCUUUCCUACAUGAUAAAUUUACAUGGCAAACUUCUGAGUUUCUCAUUAUACUGUGGGUGGUUGUGGGGAGCUUUAUUGCCCGUUCUCUUUAAUUUACAGUCUAGCAGGAGAUCAGUUAUAUCAGCUUCCCCAAACAACUGCCCAGGUACAAUUUGGGAGCUGAAAAUACCUGUCCCGUCGUCCGCUUGGCGCUCCUGAGAACUGACUGUCCUCCCACCCUGGUUGCUUUCUUGAUAAAGCCGAGUAUUUACAUCCACCGCUGCCUUCCUCCUUGAGAGGGACUUCAGCUGCCUCGGCUUGUGCGCGGCAGCAGAUUCGGGUUUGUGGCUGUAGCCCAGAACACCAGAACAAAUAGUGUGGAUUCCUUCUGCACACACAGACCCAAGAAACAAGUUCAAACGGGCAAUUUUCGAGGAGUUUGACACGAGUAGGUCUGCAAGAGACAGACGACACACAUUUCUCCACGUGGAAGAUGCUGCGACGUUCCGGCCUUUUGCUGAGUUUCUACUUCCCUUGAGUUUGUGGAUUCUGACUGACGUUGACCAAAGGGCUGCGACAACUGCCUCCCACUCCUGCCGGCUCCCGGCUCCUCUCUGACAGAGCUGCUUGCCCAGCCAGCACAAAGGAACAUCCCCCGCCUUGCAGCCAUUCCAGUUCCUCACCCGGAUUUCCAUUCCAAACCUGCCCUACAAAUUGGUCAUUUAAGACACCGAGUUCCACAGUUCGCUCUUGUUUGUUCUUCUGACUGAGAUACUGACCCGAAAGCUGUCAGAGACAGCUCUCCCCAACUAUUAUUCCUCUGGAAGGUCUUUUUCCAGAAAAAUACAUAAAUAUAUCUUAGGAUGCAAUCUCCUAAAUCGACACCUGAUUAGCACCAGAGUAGCUACAAAGGAAGGUAGAGAGAGUGAUAUCAAAUAAAAGGGAAAACAAAACCAACAUAACAUUUCUAGCUCAAAUGUAUGAUUUUUGUUAAAAAUAUUUUGCCAAUCUAAUGGUUUGGGACCGCAGUCCACACUACAAAAAUCUACAAUACUCUGAUUCUGAUCAUUCUCAAAAAAACUCUAUUCAUUUCGCUUGCUGAGAAUGCAAAUCAGACCUCAGAAGUGAAAUGUUAUUCCCUCCACUCUCUUCUACUUCUUUCCGGUGCCCUUGCACAGCAGACUCGUCUCACAGCUUUGGUGGCCCACAACAUGCCAAUUUUUCAUUAGUUUUCCAUACCAGACAAAAAGGCAUUAAGUAAUAAUGCCUGCUGAAUCCAAUAUCUGAAAAUUGAAGUGAUUAGUGUUGCAAGGCUGAAGGGCAGGGAUUGAGUCCAAAAACCCAGCCCCAAAACAACUGACCUUGCUAGACGUUUAUGUUUGAGAAUAUUCUCAAUUUUUCUAUUGAGGCCAAAUUUGCUGAAAAAGUCACAGUUCAGGUCGUUUCCUUUAGAAGAAAUUAAAUUCUAAACUUACCAUUUUCACAGCACUUUCUAUCACUCGGAUAACUAUUUUGUCAUGCAUUCUUGAUCGGAACUUUGCAACUGUUUAUCAGCUACAUUUUCACUGACAGCAUAAAGGAGGGCAUGCCCCAUUCCAUAUAAAACCUCAUCCAAUAUAAUUUGUCUCCUUUUAGAGACAAUGCAUUUUCUUUUAAAUACAGUAUAGCAAUCCAGCUUGUAUAGGGCAACCUCUCCCCCCCUGCUGCAUUUACAAGAUGCAUACAAGGAAAUCUAUUUAGGGAGGUCUAUAACAAGGACUGUGUAACUGUGUUCCAGGAAUAAGAAAAACCGACAAGGCGGCCUAAGCCAUCUCCUAAGAAUUACAAAUUUCAUGUGUCACGAAUCAAUUCUCUUACCCAAGCCCUAAUCACUAUCUUCAAAGCUUUGUAAAUGGCUUUCGUUGACCCUGCCUCACGCACUUUCCAAACCACAGCUUUGGAGUCAUAUAUGGCCUUCUUCACUGAAUAAGAAAGAUCCAAUCCUGCCAAGGAUGGAAUCCAGAGCACGGGGACCAUCCGCUCCGCUUUCUGCCCGGUAACCAGCAGUUACCUUGGGCCAAGAUCCCAGGUGUCUCAGUCCUGUCCUGCAGCUCGGCCCCUUCUCCAUCCUCUGCCUCCCUCUAACCAGCCCCAGCUGCGAUCGGGAAGCCACUGCUGGGACAGCUGUGAAGCCCCGAGCCAUGAAGAUUUCAAAACUCUUCUUACAUUCUGGCAUUUUGAGACAAUAUGCCUGACCAACCAAGAGAACAACUCGCCCACGACUCUGAGGAAACUCAACUUCAGCCACUUCUCCCCACUUCUGGUAAGAUUUCUGUCCCUUUUACAUUAGCAUUAAGCCCAGAACACUUCAAUACAGUAGGCUGAAUCACCUCUCUAAAAAUACCCCUGUCGAAACCAUCACUGAACAAAACCCAGAAAGACAGACAGAAGAACGGGCUACUAAAUUCUCAAGACCAGUCUAAAAAUCUUUACAAACGAUUGUGGAGGGAAGGGCUGCCACUCCACCCACAGCAGCACAAACCUCGCACUUCUUUAUCUACUACAAAACUGAAGAUCUAAAUUUUGUACGCAUCUUGUCUCCCAAAGGACACAGAGGAACUUAAUUACUAGUUGCAAGCAACCACUGUCUACAGUCACAUAGCCAUUUUGAGUGGAUAAAGAGGUUUUCAAACUCAUCACGAAGCAGAGGAAUAAGCUCCUUUUGACGAGGGAAGAAAAAAAAAAAAAAAAAAAACAAAAAAAAAGAGGCACAAAAAGGAGGCAGGAGCCAGGAGGCUGAGUCACAAAGCAACACAAAAAGACAGUACAACAGGUGCACCCACAGACACACACGCGUGCAUGUGCUUGCCAGAGCAAGCUUCUAAUCCUGGAGCAAAACAUCUGAGUUAGAAGUGUAGAAGGAAACCAGGGACACACGAGGACACUAAUCCCACAAGGAUCCGUGACACACGACACACACUUCUCUGUUUUCUUUGACAUCGGGUGACUUCAAAGUCAAGACAAGUGUUUGAGUCGGUUUAUGCUAGGGCAAGCAGCUUGGCAAUUCAGAUUCAGUAAGUAUUUCUCAAAAAAAAAAAAGUAACUGUUGCCAUUAUAUCAUACGGGCAUGUAGUGAAAUGGCCACGGCACGACAAGAGCAGGGCCUAACUGUAUUUGUUAGCAAAAACACAGAGCAAUGGAAUUCUACAAUUUGGCAAGAGCCUUUCCCUUUCUCCCUUGUAUUUGUAGAAUAUGAGAUUUCAGAUCUACAGGGAAAAAAAUAAAAUGUUCAUAGAACAAUGAAAUACCGGAAUGUGUAGUUUCUCCAAGGACAAAUUGAAAAAGUAAGGCCAUGUAAUGCUCAUCGUUUAAUGUCUGGAGCCAACUACUAUGAAAGGGAAAGUCACAAAAAGAAACAUCAGGGCCUUACGUUUAAGCAAACUUCUGUCAAACAUACAAAACCUUGAAAUUUUGUUAGGUCAAGGCCAAGUUUUCUUCAUGAUGAGUUGAAAAAACUACAGCAAAUAUUUAUUUUUUCAUAUAUCUAAGACAAUUUGAAAUUAUGCAAAAUAUAUUUUCCUUAUUUACUAUUACUGUUGAUGUCUGUAUGUGUCCGAAUGCCCUGAAAAUACCAUUUGAAGUACAAAAGAAAAGAGUAGUAGAUAAAAAAAGCACAGUAAUUCGGACUACAGGUAUACUUAAUAAUUUUUGCUUUUAAUUUCCAAUGGAAAGAUUAGUAUGUUUUGUAAAGUAUACACUUAUGACCAGAUUUGCCAAAGCAAAAAAAAAAAAACAAACAAAAAAAAAAAAAACAAAAAAAAAAAAACCAAA